UGUUGAGGAAGAUAAUGACGGUACUCAACAAGGAAGUGACGGCUAACUACGUGCCAGCAGCCGCGGUAAAACGUAGGUCACAAGCGUUGUCCGGAAUUACUGGGUGUAAAGGGAGCGCAGGCGGGAAGACAAGUUGGAAGUGAAAUCCAUGGGCUCAACCCAUGAACUGCUUUCAAAACUGUUUUUCUUGAGUAGUGCAGAGGUAGGCGGAAUUCCCGGUGUAGCGGUGGAAUGCGUAGAUAUCGGGAGGAACACCAGUGGCGAAGGCGGCCUACUGGGCACCAACUGACGCUGAGGCUCGAAAGUGUGGGUAGCAAACAGGAUUAGAUACCCUGGUAGUCCACACUGUAAACGAUGAUUACUAGGUGUUGGAGGAUUGACCCCUUCAGUGCCGCAGUUAACACAAUAAGUAAUCCACCUGGGGAGUACGACCGCAAGGUUGAAACUCAAAGGAAUUGACGGGGGCCCGCACAAGCAGUGGAGUAUGUGGUUUAAUUCGACGCAACGCGAAGAACCUUACCAAGUCUUGACAUCCUGCGACGCACAUAGAAAUAUGUGUUUCCUUCGGGACGCAGAGACAGGUGGUGCAUGGUUGUCGUCAGCUCGUGUCGUGAGAUGUUGGGUUAAGUCCCGCAACGAGCGCAACCCUUAUGGUCAGUUACUACGCAAGAGGACUCUGGCCAGA
RNAcentral lists this ribosomal RNA (685 nucleotides) under Faecalibacterium prausnitzii. RNAcentral describes it as "bacterial SSU rRNA". It matches the Rfam family "Bacterial small subunit ribosomal RNA", at positions 437 to 1148 of the family's 1533-position model. The record is from RNAcentral. Lineage: Bacteria; Bacillati; Bacillota; Clostridia; Eubacteriales; Oscillospiraceae.